This 770-nucleotide ribosomal RNA is filed under the name uncultured bacterium. RNAcentral describes it as "bacterial SSU rRNA". It matches the Rfam family "Bacterial small subunit ribosomal RNA", at positions 8 to 796 of the family's 1533-position model. The record is from RNAcentral.
AGAGUUUGAUCAUGGCUCAGGAUAAACGCUGGCGGCGUGCUUCAGGCAUGCAAGUCGAACGGACAGUCCGGCUUCGGCCGAACUGUUAGUGGCGGACGGGUGAGUAACACGUAAGUAACCUGCCCGGAAGUGGGGAAUAACAAGCCGAAAGGUUUGCUAAUACCGCAUGUGAAGGCUUUUCCUCGGGAGAGUCUUGAAAGGUGUAAAUCGCUUUCGGAGGGGCUUGCGGUCGAUUAGCUAGUUGGUGGGGUAAUGGCCUACCAAGGCGACGAUCGAUAGCUGGUCUGAGAGGACGGUCAGCCACACGGGGACUGAGAUACGGCCCCGACUCCUACGGGAGGCAGCAGCUAGGAAUCUUGGGAAUGCGCGAAAGCGUGACCCAGCAACGCCGCGUGGGCGAUGAAGGCCUUCGGGUCGUAAAGCCCUUUUGCAGGGGACGAUAGUGACGGUACCUUGCGAAUAAGCCACGGCUAACUACGUGCCAGCAGCCGCGGUAAUACGUAGGUGGCAAGCGUUGUCCGGAUUUACUGGGCGUAAAGGGCGUGCAGGCGGUCUGUUAAGUUCAGGGUGAAAGCUCCCGGCUCAACUGGGAGAGGUCCUUGGAUACUGGCAGACUUGAGGGAGGUAGAGGAGAGUGGAAUUCCCGGUGUAGUGGUGAUAUGCGUAGAUAUCGGGAGGAACACCAGUGGCGAAGGCGGCUCUCUGGGCCUUUCCUGACGCUGAGACGCGAAAGCGUGGGGAGCGAACCGGAUUAGAUACCCUAGUAGUCC